GAUGAACGCUGGCGGCGUGCCUAACACAUGCAAGUCGAACGAAGACGCUUAUUCAGAUUCCUUCGGGAUGACGAAUUUGUGGACUGAGUGGCGGACGGGUGAGUAACGCGUGGGUAACCUGCCUUGUACAGGGGGACAACAGUUAGAAAUGACUGCUAAUACCGCAUAAGCCAACGGAAUCGCAUGAUUCAGUUGGAAAAACUCCGGUGGUACAAGAUGGGCCCGCGUCUGAUUAGUUAGUUGGCGGGGUAACGGCCCACCAAGACGACGAUCAGUAGCCGGCUUGAGAGAGUGAACGGCCACAUUGGGACUGAGACACGGCCCAAACUCC
RNAcentral lists this ribosomal RNA (331 nucleotides) under uncultured Lachnospiraceae bacterium. RNAcentral's name for it is "bacterial SSU rRNA". It matches the Rfam family "Bacterial small subunit ribosomal RNA", at positions 28 to 339 of the family's 1533-position model. Lineage: Bacteria; Bacillati; Bacillota; Clostridia; Lachnospirales; Lachnospiraceae. The record is from RNAcentral.